RNAcentral lists this ribosomal RNA (495 nucleotides) under uncultured bacterium. Its description in RNAcentral is "partial 16S ribosomal RNA". It matches the Rfam family "Bacterial small subunit ribosomal RNA", at positions 28 to 507 of the family's 1533-position model. The record is from RNAcentral.
GACGAACGCUGGCGGCGUGCCUAAUACAUGCAAGUAGAACGCUGAAGGAGGAGCUUGCUUCUCUGGAUGAGUUGCGAACGGGUGAGUAACGCGUAGGUAACCUGCCUGGUAGCGGGGGAUAACUAUUGGAAACGAUAGCUAAUACCGCAUAAUAGUAGAUGUUGCAUGACAUUUGCUUAAAAGGUGCAAUUGCAUCACUACCAGAUGGACCUGCGUUGUAUUAGCUAGUUGGUGGGGUAACGGCUCACCAAGGCGACGAUACAUAGCCGACCUGAGAGGGUGAUCGGCCACACUGGGACUGAGACACGGCCCAGACUCCUACGGGAGGCAGCAGUAGGGAAUCUUCGGCAAUGGACGGAAGUCUGACCGAGCAACGCCGCGUGAGUGAAGAAGGUUGUCGGAUCGGAAAGCUCUGUUGUAAGAGAAGAACGAGUGUGAGAGUGGAAAGUUCACACUGUGACGGUAUCUUACCAGAAAGGGACGGCUAACUACGUG